Molecule: ribosomal RNA, 2949 nt
Filed under: Pectobacterium carotovorum
Lineage: Bacteria; Pseudomonadati; Pseudomonadota; Gammaproteobacteria; Enterobacterales; Pectobacteriaceae
Description: 23S ribosomal RNA
Rfam family: Bacterial large subunit ribosomal RNA
Source: RNAcentral
GGGUUGUGAGGUUAAGCGACUAAGCGUACACGGUGGAUGCCUAGGCAGUCAGAGGCGAUGAAGGGCGUGCUAAUCUGCGAUAAGCGUCGGUAAGCUGAUAUGAAGCGUUAUACCCGACGAUACCCGAAUGGGGGAAACCCAGUGUGUUUCGACACACUAUCAUGACAUGAAUACAUAGUGUCAUGAGGCGAACCGGGGGAACUGAAACAUCUCAGUACCCCGAGGAAAAGAAAUCAACCGAGAUUCCCCCAGUAGCGGCGAGCGAACGGGGAGGAGCCCAGAACCUGAAUCAGUUUGUGUGUUAGUGGAAGCGUCUGGAAAGUCGCACAGUAAAGGGUGAUAGUCCCGUACACAAAAAUGCACAGAUUGUGAGUUCGAUGAGUAGGGCGGGACACGUGACAUCCUGUCUGAAUAUGGGGGGGGACCAUCCUCCAAGGCUAAAUACUCCUGACUGACCGAUAGUGAACCAGUACCGUGAGGGAAAGGCGAAAAAGAACCCCGGCGAGGGGGAGUGAAAUAGAACCUGAAACCGUGUACGUACAAGCAGUGGGAGCCUACUUGUUAGGUGACUGCGUACCUUUUGUAUAAUGGGUCAGCGACUUAUAUUCUGUAGCAAGGUUAACCGUAUAGGGGGAGCCGCAGGGAAACCGAGUCUUAACUGGGCGUUAAGUUGCAGGGUAUAGACCCGAAACCCGGUGAUCUAGCCAUGGGCAGGUUGAAGGUUGGGUAACACUAACUGGAGGACCGAACCGACUAAUGUUGAAAAAAUUAGCGGAUGACUUGUGGCUGGGGGGUGAAAGGCCAAUCAAACCGGGAGAUAGCUGGUUCUCCCCGAAAGCUAUUUAGGUAGCGCCUCGUGAAUUCAUCUUCGGGGGGUAGAGCACUGUUUCGGCUAGGGGGGUCAUCCCGACUUACCAACCCGAUGCAAACUACGAAUACCGAAGAAUGUUAUCACGGGAGACACACGGCGGGUGCUAACGUUCGUCGUGAAGAGGGAAACAACCCAGACCGCCAGCUAAGGUCCCAAAGUCAUGGUUAAGUGGGAAACGAUGUGGGAAGGCAUAGACAGCCAGGAUGUUGGCUUAGAAGCAGCCAUCAUUUAAAGAAAGCGUAAUAGCUCACUGGUCGAGUCGGCCUGCGCGGAAGAUGUAACGGGGCUAAACCAUGCACCGAAGCUGCGGCAGCGACACUUAGGUGUUGUUGGGUAGGGGAGCGUUCUGUAAGCCGUCGAAGGUGGCCUGUGAGGGCUGCUGGAGGUAUCAGAAGUGCGAAUGCUGACAUAAGUAACGAUAAUGCGGGUGAAAAACCCGCACGCCGGAAGACCAAGGGUUCCUGUCCAACGUUAAUCGGGGGCAGGGUGAGUCGACCCCUAAGGCGAGGCUGAAAAGCGUAGUCGAUGGGAAACAGGUUAAUAUUCCUGUACUCGGUGUUACUGCGAAGGGGGGGGACGGAGAAAGCUAGGUUAUCCGGGCGACGGUUGUCCCGGUUUAAGCGUGAAGGUGGAUGACUUUGGUAAAUCCGGGUCGUCAUUAACACUGAGGCGUGAUGACGAGUCACUACGGUGAUGAAGUAACCGAUGCUACGCUUCCAGGAAAAGCCUCUAAGCUCCAGGUAACAUCAAAUCGUACCCCCAAACCGACACAGGUGGUCAGGUAGAGAAUACUCAGGCGCUUGAGAGAACUCGGGUGAAGGAACUAGGCAAAAUGGUGCCGUAACUUCGGGAGAAGGCACGCUGAUGGUAGGUGAAGUGACUUGCUCAUGGAGCUGAAAUCAGUCGAAGAUACCAGCUGGCUGCAACUGUUUAAUAAAAACACAGCACUGUGCAAACACGAAAGUGGACGUAUACGGUGUGACGCCUGCCCGGUGCCGGAAGGUUAAUUGAUGGGGUCAGCCGCAAGGCGAAGCUCUUGAUCGAAGCCCCGGUAAACGGCGGCCGUAACUAUAACGGUCCUAAGGUAGCGAAAUUCCUUGUCGGGUAAGUUCCGACCUGCACGAAUGGCGUAAUGAUGGCCAGGCUGUCUCCACCCGAGACUCAGUGAAAUUGAACUCGCUGUGAAGAUGCAGUGUACCCGCGGCAAGACGGAAAGACCCCGUGAACCUUUACUAUAGCUUGACACUGAACCUUGAGCCUUGAUGUGUAGGAUAGGUGGGAGGCUUUGAAGCGUGGACGCCAGUCUGCGUGGAGCCAACCUUGAAAUACCACCCUUUAAUGUUUGAUGUUCUAACGUGGACCCGUAAUCCGGGUUGCGGACAGUGUCUGGUGGGUAGUUUGACUGGGGCGGUCUCCUCCCAAAGCGUAACGGAGGAGCACGAAGGUUAGCUAAUCCUGGUCGGACAUCAGGAGGUUAGUGCAAAGGCAUAAGCUAGCUUGACUGCGAGAGUGACAGCUCGAGCAGGUGCGAAAGCAGGUCUUAGUGAUCCGGUGGUUCUGAAUGGAAGGGCCAUCGCUCAACGGAUAAAAGGUACUCCGGGGAUAACAGGCUGAUACCGCCCAAGAGUUCAUAUCGACGGCGGUGUUUGGCACCUCGAUGUCGGCUCAUCACAUCCUGGGGCUGAAGUAGGUCCCAAGGGUAUGGCUGUUCGCCAUUUAAAGUGGUACGCGAGCUGGGUUUAGAACGUCGUGAGACAGUUCGGUCCCUAUUCUGCCGUGGGCGUUGGAAGAUUGAGAGGGGUUGCUCCUAGUACGAGAGGACCGGAGUGAACGCACCACUGGUGUACGGGUUGUGAUGCCAAUUGCAUUGCCCGGUAGCUAAGUGCGGAAGAGAUAACCGCUGAAAGCAUCUAAGCGGGAAACUUGCCUCGAGAUGAGUCUUCCCUGGGCACUUGAUGCCCCUGAAGGGCCGUUGAAGACGACGACGUAGAUAGGCUGGGUGUGUAAGCGUAGCGAUACGUUGAGCUAACCAGUACUAAUGACCCGAGAGGCUUAACCUUACAACACCGAAGGUGUUU